UGAUCAUGGCUCAGAACGUACGCUGGCGGCACGCCUAACACAUGCAAGUCGAACGAAGUAGCAAUACUUAGUGGCAGACGGGUGAGUAACAUGUGGGUAUCUGCCCUUUGGCCUGGAAUAACACGAGGAAACUUGUGCUAAUACCGGAUAAGUCUUUACGGAGAAAGCUUUAUGCACCAUUGGAUGAGCCCGCACUUGAUUAGUUUGUUGGUGGGGUAAUGGCCUACCAAGACUGUGAUCAAUAGCUGAUUUGAGAGGAUGAUCAGCCACAUUGGGACUGAGACACGGCCCAAACUCCUACGGGAGGCAGCAGUGGGGAAUCUUGCACAAUGGGGGAAACCCUGAUGCAGCGAUGCCGCGUGAGUGAAGAAGGCCUUUGGGUUGUAAAGCUCUUUCGUCGGGGAAGAAAAUGACUGUACCCGAAUAAGAAGGUCCGGCUAACUUCGUGCCAGCAGCCGCGGUAAUACGAAGGGACCUAGCGUAGUUCGGAAUUACUGGGCUUAAAGAGUUCGUAGGUGGUUGAAAAAGUUAGUGGUGAAAUCCCAGAGCUUAACUCUGGAACUGCCAUUAAAACUUUUCAGCUAGAGUAUGAUAGAGGAAAGCAGAAUUUCUAGUGUAGAGGUGAAAUUCGUAGAUAUUAGAAAGAAUACCAAUUGCGAAGGCAGCUUUCUGGAUCAUUACUGACACUGAGGAACGAAAGCAUGGGUAGCGAAGAGGAUUAGAUACCCUCGUAGUCCAUGCCGUAAACGAUGUGUGUUAGACGUUGGAAAUUUAUUUUCAGUGUCGCAGCGAAAGCGAUAAACACACCGCCUGGGGAGUACGACCGCAAGGUUAAAACUCAAAUGAAUUGACGGGGACCCGCACAAGUAGUGGAGCAUGUGGUUUAAUUCGAAGAUACGCGCAGAACCUUACCAACACUUGACAUGUUCGUCGCGACUCUAAGAGAUUAGAGUUUUCGGUUCGGCCGGACGAAACACAGGUGCUGCAUGGCUGUCGUCAGCUCGUGUCGUGAGAUGUUGGGUUAAGUCCCGCAACGAGCGCAACCCUCACUUUUAGUUGCCAUCAUUUAGUUGGGCACUCUGAAAGAACUGCCAGUGAUAAGCUGGAGGAAGGUGGGGAUGACGUCAAGUCCUCAUGGCCCUUACGUGUUGGGCUACACACGUGCUACAAUGGUAUCUACAACAGGAAGCAAGACUGCGAGGUCAAGCAAAUCCUUAAAAGAUACCUCAGUUCGGAUUGCACUCUGCAACUCGAGUGCAUGAAGCUGGAAUUACUAGUAAUCGUGGAUCAGCGUGCCACGGUGAAUGCGUUCCCGGGUCUUGUACACACCGCCCGUCACACCAUGGGAGUUGGUUCUACCUUAAGGCAAGGUUUCAAACCCUUGACCACGGUAUAGUCAGCGACUGGGGUGAAGUCGUAACAAGGUA
Molecule: ribosomal RNA, 1427 nt
Filed under: uncultured bacterium
Lineage: Bacteria
Description: bacterial SSU rRNA
Rfam family: Bacterial small subunit ribosomal RNA
Source: RNAcentral